This 378-nucleotide unclassified non-coding RNA is filed under the name plant metagenome. RNAcentral describes it as "partial contains 5.8S ribosomal RNA, internal transcribed spacer 2, and large subunit ribosomal RNA". The stretch from base 1 to 105 matches the Rfam family "5.8S ribosomal RNA", at positions 50 to 154 of the family's 154-position model. The record is from RNAcentral.
GAAAUGCGAUAAGUAAUGUGAAUUGCAGAAUUCAGUGAAUCAUCGAAUCUUUGAACGCACCUUGCGCUCCUUGGUAUUCUUUGGAGCAUGCCUAUUUGAGUAUCAUGAAAUCUUCAAAGUAAAUCUUUUGUUAACUCAAUUGGUUUCUACUUUGGUAUUGGAGGUCUUUGCAGCUUCACACCUGCUCCUCUUUGUUCAUUAGCUGGAUCUCAGUGUUAUGCUUGGUUCCACUCGGCGUGAUAAGUUAUCUAUCGCUGAGGACACUGUAAAAGGUGGCCAAGGUAAAUGCAGAUGAACCGCUUCUAAUAGUCCAUUGACUUGGACAAUACUUUUAUGAUCUGAUCUCAAAUCAGGUAGGACUACCCGCUGAACUUAAGC